UCUAAUAUUUUUAGACAGAAAUCUAUUAGGUCGGUAUACUUGAUUUGUCAUAUUUUGGUACUGCGCCAUAGAUUGCAUUGAAGCAUUUUAAUUGCAUUGUAUGAUCGGAGUAAUAAGAUAUUAUUUUGUACUACAAUCAUAAAUCUCUCUCUCUCUCGAUGUGAGGCACUUGGCGUUCAAGCAAAAUAACAACAGUACGAAACUGCGAAUGGAUAAGUUCUGCAAACGCUAAGAAGAAACAAUGACAGGUUAAAGACUUGUCGUUGUAAAGAGCGCUAGCCAGGUGUAUGUUUGAUUACGUAAGUGAUGUACCGCACUUAGGAAAUGAAGUGUCCGACAACACUUCCGAUUGACAAAACGUGCUGUUCUAUAGUCUCAGGUGCAGUAUUCACACAGACAUAUAAGUGAUGGAAAGCGAUGGAGCAAACAUUAACAGAUGGAGAAUAUUACUUCCUGGUGCUGCUGAUUACACUUCCUGUCAAUUUGUUUUUCUGUCUGUGGGCUUGGCUUGGAUGGGAGCUUUUUAAAAAUAAUUAGGGCUACAUUGAAAUAAAACUGCUAUCAUGCCAUUCAAA
Schistocerca cancellata (South American locust) is the source of this 575-nucleotide long non-coding RNA. RefSeq lists it as uncharacterized. The transcript is spliced from 2 exons. The record is from RefSeq and is a predicted model, not a curated record. NCBI's taxonomy places the organism in Eukaryota, Metazoa, Arthropoda, Insecta, Orthoptera, Acrididae.